UUUGUCAAAAACAUGUCUUAAUGAAAUAUAAUUUUAAGUCUAAUCUGCUCAAUGAAUAAUUUUAAAUAGCUGCAGUAUCUUUAACUGUACAAAGGUAGCAUAAUAAUUUGUUUUUUAAUUGAAAACUAGAAUGAAUGAUUAAAUGAAAUAUAAACUAUAUCAAAUUUAAAAAAUAAAUUUAUUAUUUAAAUAAAAAAAUUUAAAUAAUUUUUAAAGACGAGAAGACCCUAAAGAAUUUUAAUAAUAAAUUAUAAUAUAAAUUUAAAAUUUAUUAAUUUAAUUGGGGAAAUUUUAAAAUUUAAAAAAUUUUUAAUUAAAUAAACAUAAAUUUUUGAAUUUUU
RNAcentral lists this ribosomal RNA (341 nucleotides) under Cotesia ruficrus. RNAcentral's name for it is "partial 16S ribosomal RNA". The record is from RNAcentral. Lineage: Eukaryota; Metazoa; Arthropoda; Insecta; Hymenoptera; Braconidae.